This 255-nucleotide ribosomal RNA is filed under the name Salmonella enterica subsp. enterica serovar Lubbock. RNAcentral's name for it is "partial 23S ribosomal RNA". It matches the Rfam family "Bacterial large subunit ribosomal RNA", at positions 515 to 783 of the family's 2925-position model. Lineage: Bacteria; Pseudomonadati; Pseudomonadota; Gammaproteobacteria; Enterobacterales; Enterobacteriaceae. RNAcentral also lists the same sequence under 1 other name. The record is from RNAcentral.
AGGAUACGGUUAACGGAGCGAAAGCGACGUUCAACCUCAAAAGAAGCAGAGGGGGCUUAGUGGUGGGGUGACUGCGUACCUUUUGUAUAAUGGGUCAGCGACUUAUAUUCUGUAGCAAGGUUAACCGAAUAGGGGAGCCGGAGGGAAACCGAGUCUUAACCGGGCGUUAAGUUGCAGGGUAUAGACCCGAAACCCGGUGAUCUAGCCAUGGGCAGGUUGAAGGUUGGGUAACACUAACUGGAGGACCGAACCGAC